GACGAACGCUGGCGGCGUGCUUAACACAUGCAAGUCGAACGGAAAGGCCCUGCUUGCAGGGUACUCGAGUGGCGAACGGGUGAGUAACACGUGGGUGAUCUGCCCUUCACUUCGGGAUAAGCUUUGGAAACUGGGUCUAAUACCGGAUAGGACCGCACUUUAGUGUGUGUGGUGGAAAGUUUUUUCGGUGUAGGAUGAGCUCGCGGCCUAUCAGCUUGUUGGUGGGGUAAUGGCCUACCAAGGCGGCGACGGGUAGCCGGCCUGAGAGGGUGUACGGCCACAUUGGGACUGAGAUACGGCCCAGACUCCUACGGGAGGCAGCAGUGGGGAAUAUUGCACAAUGGGCGCAAGCCUGAUGCAGAGACGCCGCGUGGGGGAUGAAGGCCUUCGGGUUGUAAACUCCUUUCGCUAGGGACGAAGCUUUUUGUGACGGUACCUAGAUAAGAAGCACCGGCUAACUACGUG
Molecule: ribosomal RNA, 465 nt
Filed under: uncultured bacterium
Lineage: Bacteria
Description: partial 16S ribosomal RNA
Rfam family: Bacterial small subunit ribosomal RNA
Source: RNAcentral